GGGCCCUACGGGAGGCAGCAGUAAGGAAUAUUGGUCAAUGGGCGGGAGCCUGAACCAGCCAAGCCGCGUGUGGGAAGACGGUCCUCUGGAUUGUAAACCACUGUCCCCAGGGACGAAGAUGACGGUACCUGGGGAGGAAGCUCCGGCUAACUACGUGCCAGCAGCCGCGGUAAUACGUAGGGAGCGAGCGUUGUCCGGAAUUACUGGGUGUAAAGGGAGCGUAGGCGGGGAUGCAAGUUGGGUGUCAAAACUAACGGCUCAACUGGUAGUCGCAC
RNAcentral lists this ribosomal RNA (275 nucleotides) under uncultured bacterium. Its description in RNAcentral is "partial 16S ribosomal RNA". It matches the Rfam family "Bacterial small subunit ribosomal RNA", at positions 333 to 626 of the family's 1533-position model. The record is from RNAcentral.